Molecule: ribosomal RNA, 565 nt
Filed under: uncultured delta proteobacterium
Lineage: Bacteria; Deltaproteobacteria
Description: bacterial SSU rRNA
Rfam family: Bacterial small subunit ribosomal RNA
Source: RNAcentral
GCUGGCGGCGUGCUUAACACAUGCAAGUCGCACGAGAACGUUUCAGCUUGCUGAAACUAGUAAAGUGGCGCACGGGUGAGUAACGCGUGGGUAAUCUACCUCCGAAUUGGGGAUAACAUUGCGAAAGCGAUGCUAAUACCGAAUGACAUCUCAACAACCCUGGUUUUUGAGAUCAAAGGUGGCCUCUCCAUGGAAGCUUCCGUUUGGAGAUGAGCCCGCGUACCAUUAGUUUGUUGGUAGGGUAAUGGCCUACCAAGGCGACGAUGGUUAGCUGGUCUGAGAGGAUGAUCAGCCACACUGGAACUGACACACGGUCCAGACUCCUACGGGAGGCAGCAGUGAGGAAUUUUGCGCAAUGGGGGAAACCCUGACGCAGCAACGCCGCGUGAGUGAUGAAGGCCUUCGGGUCGUAAAGCUCUGUCAAGUGAGAAGAAUCUGCCCGCUGCUAAUAUUAGUGGGCACUGACGGUGUCACUGAAGGAAGCACCGGCUAACUCCGUGCCAGCAGCCGCGGUAAUACGGAGGGUGCAAGCGUUAUUCGGAAUCACUGGGCGUAAAGAACGCGU